This is a small nuclear RNA of Sabethes cyaneus, 104 nucleotides long. The record is from RefSeq and is a predicted model, not a curated record. NCBI's taxonomy places the organism in Eukaryota, Metazoa, Arthropoda, Insecta, Diptera, Culicidae.
GUCAUCCUAGCUUCGGCUGGACAUAUACUAAAAUUGGAACGAUACAGAGAAGAUUAGCAUGGUCUUGUAUUGACUAAUGUUUUAUGGAAGAGUCUCGAAUUUCU